CAGUAUUCUAAGCCUUACUUUACUCAGUUUUACGAUAGAGUAGCAAACUAAUAACCUCUAAAAUCCUUUCUAGUUUUGAUUUCUUUGGAUUAGCUUCUCAAGGAUACUUUCCAAUCACUUCAAGCAGCAGUGCUGUGUCUCAGGCUGAUAUUCACUCUUCUUUAUGAUCACCAAGAUGACAAUUGAAUUGAAUUCACUAAAGCUGGUUUGAACAAAGACAUCCUUAACCCUGGCUGCACACUAGAAUAAUUUGAGGAGCUUUAGAAGCCACAGAUACCUGGAGUCCCACGCCAGAGUUGACGUAAGUGGAUGAAGUCACAGUCUAGACAUUGAAUUUUUAAAAUAUUCCUAAGUGAUCUGAAUGUGCAACCAGUGUUCAGAAACAUUGGUUUAGGCCAGCGGUUCUCAAAAUGUGAUUCUGCCAUCAGCAUCUUGAGCAUUACCUGGAAACUGAUUAGAAAUGCAAAGUCUCUGACUCCAGAACUGCUGAAUCAAAUAUCCAAAUAUGGUUGCUCAUCACAGUUAUCUGGGGAGAAUUUUGAAAAUAGGUACUCCUCAUCUUCACCAUCAGUUCCAGUUUCUGAUACAGAAAAUGUGGGCAAGGUCAGGAAAUGCCAUUCUUCUCCUCCACCUGCUUCUUCUUCCUCAAGAAUUCUAAAGAUUUGACAGUUAUGGGAGCCAUGUUGAAAAUAUAUAUUUUGAAAAGAGUUGUAAUUGAGGAAAUCUGAAUUUCAGUCCCGCCACUGUAGGUAACUGACCAAGAGACCUUGGACCAGGCACUUCUCCUGCCUCCCUUGAAUCAAAGCUUCUAUAUCAACCACUGCUGACUCCCACACUUCCAGGGAAGUUCCAAUGAACUUGAAUGAUGUUUGAAGCUUCAGAGCUCUAUGUAAAUGUGAAGUAUUGCUAUCAAGACAUCUUAGAAUGAAAGAUAAUAUUUUCUUCUUUACUUUUACUCCUUAGAAGACUAUUACCUACUAGUAUGUCCCUUUUAUUUCUUAUUUAAUAAAAAACCUACAGAAAGAUAAA
RNAcentral lists this long non-coding RNA (1029 nucleotides) under Homo sapiens (human). RNAcentral's name for it is "HSALNT0393866". The record is from RNAcentral. Lineage: Eukaryota; Metazoa; Chordata; Mammalia; Primates; Hominidae.